UUGGCAUACAUGAUAGGAUGAUUCUUCAAAGGAAACACAUUUAAUUUCACAAAUCUUCAUGAUAUUUGCUUUUGACAGCAUACCAGCAACUGUGAAACAACAAACAUUUCACAGAUAGAUAUAUCUGCAUCAAAUACAUAAAGCAGGUCCAAUGAUGCAGAUCAGAUAAAAAAAAAACCAACUAACUCUUUGAGUAUUUGUCUAAAUUUGCAAUCUUGGUUAUGCUCUAGAUAAAAUUCCUCUUUUGUAAUUUUUUUAAAAUAAUGUGUUAAUUCAAUGAAAUAUUUACAUCUUCAUGAUCUUCAUUAGCUAUAGUGCCUAACAAGAUUUUGUAAGGGAAUUUGAUGUUUGCUAUACCACUGUUUAUUUCAACGCACUUUAUGAUAAUACUUCUGUACCAAUCAAAAUGAAAAUUUUUGUAGUGUUUUGAGAAAUGAUUU
This 440-nucleotide long non-coding RNA is filed under the name Mytilus galloprovincialis (Mediterranean mussel). The record is from RNAcentral. Lineage: Eukaryota; Metazoa; Mollusca; Bivalvia; Mytilida; Mytilidae.